This 429-nucleotide ribosomal RNA is filed under the name Pseudomonadota bacterium. RNAcentral describes it as "Proteobacteria bacterium partial 16S ribosomal RNA". It matches the Rfam family "Bacterial small subunit ribosomal RNA", at positions 355 to 776 of the family's 1533-position model. Lineage: Bacteria; Pseudomonadati; Pseudomonadota. The record is from RNAcentral.
UGGGGAAUAUUGGACAAUGGGCGAAAGCCUGAUCCAGCCAUGCCGCGUGUGUGAAGAAGGUCUUCGGAUUGUAAAGCACUUUAAGUUGGGAGGAAGGGCAGUAAGCGAAUACCUUGCUGUUUUGACGUUACCGACAGAAUAAGCACCGGCUAACUCUGUGCCAGCAGCCGCGGUAAUACAGAGGGUGCAAGCGUUAAUCGGAAUUACUGGGCGUAAAGCGCGCGUAGGUGGUUCGUUAAGUUGAAUGUGAAAGCCCCGGGCUCAACCUGGGAACUGCAUCCAAAACUGGCGAGCUAGAGUAGGGCAGAGGGUGGCGGAAUUUCCUGUGUAGCGGUGAAAUGCGUAGAUAUAGGAAGGAACACCAGUGGCGAAGGCGACCACCUGGGCUCAUACUGACACUGAGGUGCGAAAGCGUGGGGAGCAAACAGG